RNAcentral lists this ribosomal RNA (119 nucleotides) under Triticum aestivum (bread wheat). Lineage: Eukaryota; Viridiplantae; Streptophyta; Magnoliopsida; Poales; Poaceae. The record is from RNAcentral. RNAcentral also lists the same sequence under 1 other name.
GGAUGCGAUCAUACCAGCACUAAAGCACCGGAUCCCAUCAGAACUCCGAAGUUAAGCAUGCUUGGGCGAGAGUAGUCCUAGGAUGGGUGACCUCCUGGGAAGUCCUCGUGUUGCAUUCC